This 253-nucleotide ribosomal RNA is filed under the name uncultured bacterium. Its description in RNAcentral is "partial 16S ribosomal RNA". It matches the Rfam family "Bacterial small subunit ribosomal RNA", at positions 524 to 776 of the family's 1533-position model. The record is from RNAcentral.
UACGUAGGGUGCGAGCGUUAAUCGGAAUUACUGGGCGUAAAGCGUGCGCAGGCGGUUUUGUAAGCCAGAUGUGAAAUCCCCGAGCUUAACUUGGGAACUGCAUUUGGGACUGCAAGGCUAGAGUACGGCAGUGGGGGGUAGAAUUCCUGGUGUAGCAGUGAAAUGCGUAGAUAUCAGGAGGAAUACCGAUGGCGAAGGCAGCCCCCUGGGUCGAUACUGACGCUCAUGCACGAAAGCGUGGGGAGCAAACAGG